This is a non-coding RNA of Schizosaccharomyces pombe (fission yeast), 1124 nucleotides long. Lineage: Eukaryota; Fungi; Ascomycota; Schizosaccharomycetes; Schizosaccharomycetales; Schizosaccharomycetaceae. The record is from the annotation of a GenBank genome assembly.
UGUGUCGCCAUCGUCCCGGCGCACAAAAUCCUUAUAAUCUACCUUGUCAUGCUUCUCUGCAUUAGAAGUCGAUUUUAGUGUAAAUGCAAGAAAGAGAAGCCUUAGUAGAAUUUGGGGAAACAGGCUCAUGUUCCGCGAAUCUCUGUAUCAAUCAAUCGUAAAACACAAUAUACAUAAAUAAAGCUUUUGCACUUUUGAUCCAGAAGUUCCCAAAUCGGCUAAAAUUACUCGAACAUAAAAAACCAAAACUAACUAAGCAGGUUGAAAGCUUUUUAUACUUCGCAAUAAAAAAUUCUCAAGUCUCUCGAUCCGUGUACCCAGCCAGUGUGUUUAUAGGGAUAAAAUAAAAUUACAUCUUCAUAGAAAACUCCGAAAUUUUUCGGCUUCAAACAGAACAGAUGGUAGGCAAGCAGCCGUUUAAUCCUGACUGAUUUUAAAAAUAACUUUUUUAACCUUCCUGACCAUAUUGCAAUGUUGGAUAAAAUAUUACCGUACCGGAUUUAUCCGAAUGCUUGAAUGGCUUGAGAUUUCCCUAUGUGAGUACUAUCUUAAAGAAAAAAAAAAAAAAAAAAAAAGGAAAGGAAAGGAAAAAGAGAAAAACAAAGAGAUUAUUUUCUUCAGUCCUUAAAAAGUCUAUGGUGAAACAGUAAACGAAUUUGGGAGAUUUAUUAGCGAAUUUUUUUCCAUUCCUGCGAGUAACUGAUGUGUUCCAUUUUAUAUACUUGAUGAGAGAGCGUCUAAAAAUUUUAUACUGCUUUUCUGAAUUUACAUAGACUAAUAAGAAAACCCGCACUAGAUAGGAAGAUUGACUAAAGAAGAAAGGAACAAAAUUUACGACUUAAAUCCAGUGAUCUGACAAAAUCUUCUGCAUAUUGCCUAAAUGUGAUGAUUUUUCGUUUAAUUUCCAGAAAUAACAUUGUUUUUAUUUAUGAUUUAAUCUUAUUGUCACGUUCAUUUGUUGUUUUCUAGUUUCAUGUAGAUCGUCGUCUCUUUAAGCUCACUUGACUAUUUGGGGAAACCUGGGUAAACGAGAGAAAGCAUCGCUCUACAAAAAUAGAUUUGCUAAAAUAUAAAUUGGUUUAUUCAUAGAAAACUUACAUAGAUUAGUAACAAGUACAGAAAUC